AGGGAUGUAGUUCAGUGGUAGAACAUCUGCUUUGAAUGCAGAAGGUUCCAGCUUCCGGGUUAGCGCCAUCGCCG
Non-coding RNA from Podarcis lilfordi (Lilford's wall lizard), 74 nucleotides. Lineage: Eukaryota; Metazoa; Chordata; Lepidosauria; Squamata; Lacertidae. The record is from the annotation of a GenBank genome assembly.